This 1200-nucleotide long non-coding RNA is filed under the name Ailuropoda melanoleuca (giant panda). RNAcentral describes it as "lncRNA (ENSAMEG00000028625.1)". The record is from RNAcentral. Lineage: Eukaryota; Metazoa; Chordata; Mammalia; Carnivora; Ursidae.
CUGCCCCUCGGUGUCUCGUCAUUGCUACGCAGCUGAAUUCUGGCUAAAAUGAACGAUGAAAGAGGGAAGGAGAAACAAUGGAAUGGGAGUCUCAGAGGUGUGUGCUCUGCGGCUGCCCUUCAUGCCCGCGCCCACUGCGGAGUCCUCUGGAAGGCUGCACCUCUAAUUGCCUACUGGUUAUUCUGGGUUUUUUAAACCAGCCGCUGGUCCACACCUGCACCUUCCCGUCUGCCUCUGCUGCAGUCCUCAGACUGCCUUGUCCUUAUCACCAGGGCGGUGUUGGGGGCCCGAGGGACCCCGAUGGUAAACCAGGAUCAUAGCCCUGCUUGCUGCCGGGCAUGGGGAAGGACGGCCACGUCUAGAGUGCCAUGAGCACGAUUUCAAAUGUCACUCUGUCGCCACACCCUGCUCAACGCCCCUCAACUCCGCGCCCUGCCUCGUGGGGAGCUGCUCCCUGGGCACGUCCUCGGCCGGACCAGGCUCCUGAGCCUCAUGGCUUUUUUACCCACAACUUGGGCUCAAAACGAAGUGAAACCUGAUUAGGAAAUGAUGUCAAGAGAAAAAGCAAUGCUGAAUUUGCUUUCUGGUGAGUCCGAGAUAAAGAGCCAUCGCAGUCCUUCUAUGGGAGCAGGAGGGGACACCGGGUCACGCCACCAGGUGUCUGAGAGCAGGAGAGACACACCAGAUCAUGCCAUCAGUAGAGCCCAGGUAGUACCCCUGUGGGAAAAAUCAGCCACGGGAUGCAAGGUGACGGCAACCUGCACUCCCAUCACAUCGACACGAGUGCAAUCCAUGCUGCUCCCCGUCCUGGGGCCUUGCCUUGGCACAGUGAAGAGGAUCCCAAGCAGAGGACCGGGGAAGACUCACAUCGGCAUCAGUGCGCUCUGGAAUGUUCCUUGGCUCCCACAUCACAGUCAAUCUGCUGCCUCAUCCAGGACAAGACCAAGUGCUGUCCCAGUCACGCUGUGGGGAUUCAGUUGUGACUUCAGAUUCUUGUCAGGGAGGCAUAUCCACCAGCCAACAACAGAUGGAGGAACCCUGUCAGUCACUGAUGAUCUCGGCCAAAUCCUGAAGGGCCAGCAUUUCAAGAAGUUGGUCACCUUCCAAGGUAACCCAAACAAAAAGAAACCAGGAAUACCUGCUAGAGUGACAGCUUGCAGUAAGAUGAAGGCAAAGUUUAACAGCAACAACAACAAAAUC